This is a long non-coding RNA of Tachysurus fulvidraco (yellow catfish), 742 nucleotides long. RefSeq lists it as uncharacterized. The record is from RefSeq and is a predicted model, not a curated record. The transcript is spliced from 2 exons. Lineage: Eukaryota; Metazoa; Chordata; Actinopteri; Siluriformes; Bagridae.
AUUUCCGGGUUUCCGUUGUUUACGUUCCACGUCAUAACCUAACGUGUGCCUGGAGAUCUGCCUGGGAUUUGUUUUUUUUUAUUAGCAUGAUUAUGCGUUUACAGGAUGCACUAUUCUAUGAACAUACAUUUAAACCAGGUCAUAAUAUGUAUUAUUUAUCUAGAUUAUGCUUUUUAGGAUUGUUGGAAAUGUAUUAAACAGCUGUAAAGACGUCUUGCAGGGUUGCUUCACCUCUACUGGGAGACAGUAUUUCGAGUUUCCUUCCUACAAUAAGGUCAUAAACCUCUGUGAGGAUCCUGAGGCAUCUAGAGAUCUACCAGCUCCAGUUGGACUCUGCGAUACUAAAGAGGAGAUAACAACUCCAUGUGGUCUUUUGCAUCAAUACAACAUUUGUCAGACUGUAUAUUUAUAAUCACACUCUCCGGUGUCACCCAUAUGAGGAUGAGGUUCCCCUUUGAGUCUGUUUCCUCUCAAGGUUUCUUCCUUCACCAUCCAAGGGUGUUUUUACUCCCCACAAUCACCUGAGUCACCUCAGACUUGCUCAUUGGGGAUAAAUACAAAUACAAACACAAUAAAUAUAUCUAAUAUUAAUCUUGAAUUUUUCUAUUAUGUCAAUCUUUAAAUUAUUCUUUACAAUACAUUUUUGUUUUAUGUUUAUGUUCUGUAAAAAUGCUUUGAGACUGUCAAUUGUAAAAAGCGCAAAUUAAAUUGAAUUGAAUUAAAUUGAAUUGAAUAAACCUGA